AUACGUAGGGGGCGAGCGUUGUCCGGAAUGAUUGGGCGUAAAGGGCGCGUAGGCGGCCGCUUAAGUCUGGAGUGAAAGUCCUGUUUUCAAGAUGGGAAUUGCUUUGGAUACUGGGGGGCUUGAGUGCAGGAGAGGUUAUCGGAAUUCCCGGUGUAGCGGUGAAAUGCGUAGAGAUCGGGAGGAACACCAGUGGCGAAGGCGGGUAACUGGACUGCAACUGACGCUGAGGCGCGAAAGUGUGGGGAGCAAACAGGAUUAGAUACCCUGGUAGUCCACACUGCAAACGAUGAAUGCUAGGUGUAAGAGGUAUCGACCCCUUUUGUGCCGGAGUCAACACAAUAAGCAUUCCGCCUGGGGAGUACGGCCGCAAGGUUGAAACUCAAAUGAAUUGACGGGG
RNAcentral lists this ribosomal RNA (397 nucleotides) under uncultured bacterium. RNAcentral describes it as "partial 16S ribosomal RNA". It matches the Rfam family "Bacterial small subunit ribosomal RNA", at positions 523 to 918 of the family's 1533-position model. The record is from RNAcentral.